Molecule: long non-coding RNA, 1020 nt
Organism: Mytilus californianus (California mussel)
Lineage: Eukaryota; Metazoa; Mollusca; Bivalvia; Mytilida; Mytilidae
Exons: 4
Source: RefSeq, a predicted model, not a curated record
AUGAUGCAAAGAAGACGCCGGUAGCCAACUGACAACAACUUGAACAAGUACUUGUUUCUGUUUAUUUAACGAGACAAACACAAUCAAGGAGCUAUGAACACAUAGAUACUCGCGAAAAUAAUACAGCAGUACAUUGUGUUACAACAAAUGGACAGAGGAGUUGACUAUUGAUAGUGACUGAUAAUGGACUGGAGUAACCUAGCGUCCAAUGACUCUGAACAUGCCUGACAGUACUGGCAUGUGUACAUGUAUGUCGACAGCCAAUUCUAAGUAACCUUAAACGUAUACAUUGUAUAUACAAAAGACCUACAAUAAUGAAUUAGCUCCUGAGAUGUCAGUGGAAUGGAAGUAAUGCACAUCAUAUGUUUCAAUGAAAUUAACAUGAUUAAUGAUGGGAUAAGACGUAGAGAAGAUCCUAUAGCUACAGUACAUGUACAUGUAACUGCAAAUGUAUUCCAAGAGUUUAUGGCUGAUUAUGCAACUACAGGAUUUUAUCAUUGAAGCAACAUCUUAGAAGGAUAAGUGCAAAUGUAUGAAGGAAGCCUUGUGUACAAAUACAUGUAGCAAUUACAUGCAGGAGAGAACACUUAAACAUUACUAGCAUGUAGUCAUGAUAUUGGAGUGGUGCAUUCUAGAAAUCUAAACACCUGGAAUUAAAUAUUGUGUAUAUUUUUUUUCAACCACAAGUACCUUCAGCAUAUAAUACAAUUCAUAUUCAAAUUAUUGUGUCAACAUGACAGUUACUUUCUAAAAAUGGAAAAUGCUUGUUUUAAAAUGAAUUUUAUAUAAAUAUUUUAAAUAACAAGAAUUUUUAGCUUAUUGUGCAGCCAAACUUUGAGAUCUUUUAAUGGUAUAUGCCUGUUGUUUGUCAACAUUUAUUUUCUUUUUGACUUAGCCUUAAGAUCAGUGUUAAUACAACAUGUAAUAUGAAAAACUGAAAACCAUAUAUGAAAUAAGAAGGAAAUGGUUGUAAAUAACAGCAAGACUUUCAAUAUGGUAUAUCAAAUAUAUUUCACAGAA